RNAcentral lists this unclassified non-coding RNA (322 nucleotides) under fungal sp. Its description in RNAcentral is "partial internal transcribed spacer region". The stretch from base 1 to 45 matches the Rfam family "Eukaryotic small subunit ribosomal RNA", at positions 1786 to 1831 of the family's 1831-position model. The record is from RNAcentral. Lineage: Eukaryota; Fungi.
AAGUCGUAACAAGGUUUCCGUAGGUGAACCUGCGGAGGAUCAUUAACACGUAUCGCAACGUUAAACCCCCUGUGGUAAAUCAGUCGCGAAAGUAGUUAUUGAUUCAGGACCUCUGACCAAAAGAUGUGAUUGAGCGCUCGAAGCAAGUGGCCUAGCUUCCCCAAGCGAUCAGUGUUCUGAAAGUGGUCAUUGAUUAUGUGCAAGGAGUGGUCCCCGGGCUCACGCCCCUUCGAAACAACCAGUAGUUAGCGUAUGUCUCCUCGACACAGCAAGUGCGCCGUCGUAGGAGAAAAACCAACAACUGUUAAAUAUCUUGGUUCUC